Molecule: transfer RNA, 77 nt
Filed under: Thermoprotei archaeon
Lineage: Archaea; Thermoproteati; Thermoproteota; Thermoprotei
Also listed under: 1 other name
Description: tRNA-Cys
Rfam family: tRNA
About the family: Transfer RNA (tRNA) molecules are approximately 80 nucleotides in length. Their secondary structure includes four short double-helical elements and three loops (D, anti-codon, and T loops).
Source: RNAcentral
GCCGGGGUGGCCGAGAGGCUAAGGCGGCCGGCUGCAGACCGGCUUAUUCCCGGGUUCGAGUCCCGGCCCCGGCUCCA